GUCGAGCGGACAGAUGGGAGCUUGCUCCCUGAAGUCAGCGGCGGACGGGUGAGUAACACGUGGGCAACCUGCCUGUAAGACUGGGAUAACUCCGGGAAACCGGGGCUAAUACCGGAUAAUUCUUUCCCUCACAUGAGGGAAAGCUGAAAGAUGGUUUCGGCUAUCACUUACAGAUGGGCCCGCGGCGCAUUAGCUAGUUGGUGAGGUAACGGCUCACCAAGGGAGCGAUGCGUAGCCGACCUGAGAGGGUGAUCGGCCACACUGGGACUGAGACACGGCCCAGACUCCUACGGGAGGCAGCAGUAGGGAAUCUUCCGCAAUGGACGAAAGUCUGACGGAGCAACGCCGCGUGAGUGAUGAAGGUUUUCGGAUCGUAAAACUCUGUUGUUAGGGAAGAACAAGUACCGGAGUAACUGCCGGUACCUUGACGGUACCUAACCAGAAAGCCACGGCUAACUACGUGCCAGCAGCCGCGGUAAUACGUAGGUGGCAAGCGUUGUCCGGAAUUAUUGGGCGUAAAGCGCGCGCAGGCGGUUCCUUAAGUCUGAUGUGAAAGCCCCCGGCUCAACCGGGGAGGGUCAUUGGAAACUGGGGAACUUGAGUGCAGAAGAGAAGAGUGGAAUUCCACGUGUAGCGGUGAAAUGCGUAGAGAUGUGGAGGAACACCAGUGGCGAAGGCGACUCUUUGGUCUGUAACUGACGCUGAGGCGC
RNAcentral lists this ribosomal RNA (710 nucleotides) under Bacillus sp. Y1122_1. RNAcentral's name for it is "bacterial SSU rRNA". It matches the Rfam family "Bacterial small subunit ribosomal RNA", at positions 61 to 754 of the family's 1533-position model. The record is from RNAcentral. Lineage: Bacteria; Bacillati; Bacillota; Bacilli; Caryophanales; Bacillaceae.